RNAcentral lists this ribosomal RNA (207 nucleotides) under uncultured bacterium. RNAcentral describes it as "partial 16S ribosomal RNA". It matches the Rfam family "Bacterial small subunit ribosomal RNA", at positions 568 to 774 of the family's 1533-position model. The record is from RNAcentral.
CGUGUAGGCGGUUCUGCAAGUCCGAUGUGAAAGCCCGGGGCUCAACCCCGGAAGUGCAUUGGAUACUACGGAGCUGGAGUCCUGAAGAGGAGAGCGGAAUUCCCGGUGUAGAGGUGAAAUUCGUAGAUAUCGGGAGGAACACCAGUGGCGAAGGCGGCUCUCUGGACAGGUACUGACGCUGAGACGCGAAAGCGUGGGUAGCAAACA